Molecule: ribosomal RNA, 253 nt
Filed under: uncultured bacterium
Lineage: Bacteria
Description: partial 16S ribosomal RNA
Rfam family: Bacterial small subunit ribosomal RNA
Source: RNAcentral
UACGUAGGGGGCUAGCGUUGUCCGGAUUUAUUGGGCGUAAAGAGCGUGUAGGCGGCCACACAGGUCUGCUGUGAAAACUCGAGGCUCAACCUCGAGCUGUCGGUGGAAACCGUGUGGCUAGAGUCCGGAAGAGGAGAGUGGAAUUCCCGGUGUAGCGGUGAAAUGCGCAGAUAUCGGGAAGAACACCCGUGGCGAAGGCGGCUCUCUGGGACGGUACUGACGCUGAGACGCGAAAGCGUGGGGAGCGAACAGG